AGUGAACGCUGGCGGUAGGCCUAACACAUGCAAGUCGAACGGCAGCACAGAGGAGCUUGCUCCUUGGGUGGCGAGUGGCGGACGGGUGAGGAAUACAUCGGAAUCUACUCUGUCGUGGGGGAUAACGUAGGGAAACUUACGCUAAUACCGCAUACGACCUACGGGUGAAAGCAGGGGAUCUUCGGACCUUGCGCGAUUGAAUGAGCCGAUGUCGGAUUAGCUAGUUGGCGGGGUAAAGGCCCACCAAGGCGACGAUCCGUAGCUGGUCUGAGAGGAUGAUCAGCCACACUGGAACUGAGACACGGUCCAGGCUCCUACGGGAGGCAGCAGUGGGGAAUAUUGGACAAUGGGCGCAAGCCUGAUCCAGCCAUACCGCGUGGGUGAAGAAGGCCUUCGGGUUGUAAAGCCCUUUUGUUGGGAAAGAAAUCCAGCCGGCUAAUACCUGGUUGGGAUGACGGUACCCAAAGAAUAAGCACCGGCUAACUUCGUGCCAGCAGCCGCGGUAAUACGAAGGGUGCAAGCGUUACUCGGAAUUACUGGGCGUAAAGCGUGCGUAGGUGGUUAUUUAAGUCCGUUGUGAAAGCCCUGGGCUCAACCUGGGAACUGCAGUGGAUACUGGAUGACUAGAAUGUGGUAGAGGGUAGCGGAAUUCCUGGUGUAGCAGUGAAAUGCGUAGAGAUCAGGAGGAACAUCCAUGGCGAAGGCAGCUACCUGGACCAACAUUGACACUGAGGCACGAAAGCGUGGGGAGCAAACAGG
Molecule: ribosomal RNA, 759 nt
Filed under: uncultured Stenotrophomonas sp.
Lineage: Bacteria; Pseudomonadati; Pseudomonadota; Gammaproteobacteria; Lysobacterales; Lysobacteraceae
Description: bacterial SSU rRNA
Rfam family: Bacterial small subunit ribosomal RNA
Source: RNAcentral